This 395-nucleotide ribosomal RNA is filed under the name uncultured Dialister sp. Its description in RNAcentral is "bacterial SSU rRNA". It matches the Rfam family "Bacterial small subunit ribosomal RNA", at positions 355 to 743 of the family's 1533-position model. Lineage: Bacteria; Bacillati; Bacillota; Negativicutes; Veillonellales; Veillonellaceae. The record is from RNAcentral.
UGGGGAAUCUUCCGCAAUGGGCGCAAGCCUGACGGAGCAACGCCGCGUGAGUGAAGAAGGUUUUCGGAUCGUAAAGCUCUGUUGAGAGGGACGAGAGACAUAAUCAGGAAAUGGGUUAUGGAGGACGGUACCUUUCGAGGAAGCCACGGCUAACUACGUGCCAGCAGCCACGGUAAUACGUAGGUGGCAAGCGUUGUCCGGAAUUAUUGGGCGUAAAGCGCGCGCAGGCGGCUUCUUAAGUCCAUCUUAAAAGUGCGGGGCUUAACCCCGUGAUGGGAUGGAAACUGAGAGGCUGGAGUAUCGGAGAGGAAAGUGGAAUUCCUAGUGUAGCGGUGAAAUGCGUAGAGAUUAGGAAGAACACCGGUGGCGAAGGCGACUUUCUGGACGACAACUGA